Molecule: transfer RNA, 73 nt
Filed under: Metabraxas rubrotincta
Lineage: Eukaryota; Metazoa; Arthropoda; Insecta; Lepidoptera; Geometridae
Description: tRNA-Leu
Source: RNAcentral
ACUAUUUUGGCAGAAAAAAUGUAAUGAUUUUAGAAUUCAUAUGUAUAUAUAAAUUUUAUUUAUAUAAAUAGUA